Molecule: ribosomal RNA, 515 nt
Filed under: uncultured bacterium
Lineage: Bacteria
Description: bacterial SSU rRNA
Rfam family: Bacterial small subunit ribosomal RNA
Source: RNAcentral
GAUUAUGGCUCAGAACGAACGCUGGCGGCGCGUCUUAAGCAUGCAAGUCGAACGGCAAGAGGUAGCAAUACCUCCUAGAGUGGCGGACUGGUGAGUAACACGUGGGUGACAUACCCUUCAGAUGGGGAUAGCUAUUAGAAAUAGUAGAUAAUACCGAAUACGAGCACAGGGGUUAGAGAUCUGUGAGGAAAGGAGCUAAGGCUCCGCUGAAGGAAUGGCCUGCGGCCCAUUAGCUAGUUGGUGAGGUAAGAGCCCACCAAGGCGAUGAUGGGUAUCCGGCCUUAGAGGGUGAACGGACACAUUGGGACUGAGAUACGGCCCAGACUCCUACGGGAGGCAGCAGCUAAGAAUAUUCCGCAAUGGACGAAAGUCUGACGGAGCGACGCCCGCGUGGAUGAAGAAGGCCGGAAGGUUGUAAAAUCCUUUUGAAACUGAAGAAUAAGCGUUGUAGGGAAUGACGGCGUGGUGACAGUAGGUUUUGAAUAAGCAACGGCUAAUUACGUGCCAGCCGCGGC